Molecule: non-coding RNA, 27 nt
Filed under: Homo sapiens (human)
Lineage: Eukaryota; Metazoa; Chordata; Mammalia; Primates; Hominidae
Source: RNAcentral
UGGGAGCCACGAGCUGCCCUGCUGGGC